This 1206-nucleotide ribosomal RNA is filed under the name metagenome. Its description in RNAcentral is "bacterial SSU rRNA". It matches the Rfam family "Bacterial small subunit ribosomal RNA", at positions 125 to 1488 of the family's 1533-position model. The record is from RNAcentral.
CCUACCUUUAACAGGGGGAUAGCCCGAAGAAAUUCGGAUUAAUACCCCAUACAACUAUAGAUAAGCAUUUAUUUAUAUUUAAAACUCCGGUGGUUAAAGAUGGGCAUGCGUGACAUUAGAUAGUUGGUGAGGUAACGGCUCACCAAGUCUACGAUGUCUAGGGGGUCUGAGAGGAUGGUCCCCCACACUGGUACUGAGACACGGACCAGACUCCUACGGGAGGCAGCAGUGAGGAAUAUUGCGCAAUGGAGGAAACUCUGACGCAGCCAUGCCGCGUGCAGGAUGACAGCCCUACGGGUUGUAAACUGCUUUUAUACAGGAAGAAUUUUCCGCACGUGUGCGGGGUUGACGGUACUGUACGAAUAAGCAUCGGCUAACUCCGUGCCAGCAGCCGCGGUAAUACGGAGGAUGCAAGCGUUAUCCGGAUUUAUUGGGUUUAAAGGGUGCGUAGGCGGGGUAAUAAGUCAGUGGUGAAAUCCUGCAGCUUAACUGUAGAAUUGCCAUUGAUACUGAUACCCUGGUAGUCCACGCUGUAAACUAUGAUCACUAGCUGUUGGCGAUACAUCGAUCAGCGGCAAAGCGAAAGCAUUAAGUGAUCCACCUGGGGAGUACGGUCGCAAGAUUGAAACUCAAAGGAAUUGACGGGGGCCCGCACAAGCGGUGGAACAUGUGGUUUAAUUGGAUGAUACGCGAGGAACCUUACCUGGGCUUAAAUGCAGAUUACGUUUCGGGAAACCGAAAUUCUCUUCGGAGCGAUUUGCAAGGUGCUGCAUGGUUGUCGUCAGCUCGUGCCGUGAGGUGUCGGGUUAAGUCCCAUAACGAGCGCAACCCCUAUCGUUAGUUGCCAGCGGAUCAUGCCGGGGACUCUAACGAAACUGCCGGUGUAAACCGAGAGGAAGGUGGGGAUGACGUCAAAUCAGCACGGCCCUUAUGUCCAGGGCUACACACGUGUUACAAUGGUCGGUACAGAGGGCAGCUACCUGGUGACAGGAUGCUAAUCUCGAAAGCCGGUCUUAGUUCGGAUCGAAGUCUGCAACUCGACUUCGUGAAGCUGGAAUCGCCAGUAAUCGCGUAUCAGCAACGACGCGGUGAAUACGUUCCCGGGCCUUGUACACACCGCCCGUCAAGCCAUGGAAGCUGGGGGUACCUGAAGUCUGUAACCGCAAGGAGCGGCCUAGGGUAAAACUAGUGACUGGGGCUAAGUCG